Molecule: ribosomal RNA, 515 nt
Filed under: uncultured microorganism
Description: bacterial SSU rRNA
Rfam family: Bacterial small subunit ribosomal RNA
Source: RNAcentral
GAGUUUGAUCAUGGCUCAGGAUGGACGCUGGCGGCGUGCCUAAUACAUGCAAGUCGAGCGAACGGACGAGAAGCUUGCUUCUCUGAUGUUAGCGGCGGACGGGUGAGUAACACGUGGAUAACCUACCUAUAAGACUGGGAUAACUUCGGGAAACCGGAGCUAAUACCGGAUAACAUUUUGAACCGCAUGGUUCAAAAGUGAAAGACGGUCUUGCUGUCACUUAUAGAUGGAUCCGCGCUGCAUUAGCUAGUUGGUAAGGUAACGGCUUACCAAGGCAACGAUGCAUAGCCGACCUGAGAGGGUGAUCGGCCACACUGGAACUGAGACACGGUCCAGACUCCUACGGGAGGCAGCAGUAGGGAAUCUUCCGCAAUGGGCGAAAGCCUGACGGAGCAACGCCGCGUGAGUGAUGAAGGUCUUCGGAUCGUAAAACUCUGUUAUUAGGGAGAACAUAUGUGUAAGUAACUGUGCACAUUUCUGUACGGUACCUAAUCAGAAGGCCACGGCUAACUACG